Molecule: ribosomal RNA, 422 nt
Filed under: uncultured bacterium
Lineage: Bacteria
Description: partial 16S ribosomal RNA
Rfam family: Bacterial small subunit ribosomal RNA
Source: RNAcentral
AAUAUUGGACAAUGGGGGCAACCCUGAUCCAGCCUUGCCUCUUUUGUUCAUAAUGUCUUCUGAUUGAAAAGCACUUCAAGGUGGGAGGAAGGGCUUUAGGUUAAUACCCUGAAGUUUUGACGUUACCAACAGAUUAAGCACCGGCUAACUCUGUGUCAGCAGCCGCGGUAAUACAGAGAGUGCAAGCGUUAAUCGGAAUUACUGGGCGUAAAGCGCGCGUAGGUGGUUCAGUAAGAUGGGUGUGAAAUCCCCGGGCUUAACCUGGGAACUGCUUUCAUAACUGCUGAGCUAGAGUACGGUAGAGGGUAGUGGAAUUUCCUGUGUAGCGGUGAAAUGCGUAGAUAUAGGAAGGAACACCAGUGGCGAAGGCGACUACCUGGACUGAUACUGACACUGAGGUACGAAAGCGUGGGUAGCGAACA